GUACCGCACGAAUAAGGACCGGCUAAUUCCGUGCCAGCAGCCGCGGUAAUACGGAAGGUCCGGGCGUUAUCCGGAUUUAUUGGGUUUAAAGGGAGCGUAGGCCGCCUUUUAAGCGUGCUGUGAAAUACCGUUGCCCAACAACGGGGCUGCAGCGCGAACUGGAGGGCUUGAGUUCACGGGAAGCCGGCGGAAUUCGUCGUGUAGCGGUGAAAUGCUUAGAUAUGACGAAGAACUCCGAUUGCGAAGGCAGCCGGCUGUAGUGUUACUGACGCUGAAGCUCGAAAGUGCGGGUAUCGAACAGGAUUAGAUACCCUGGUAGUCCAUGCCGUAAACGAUGAUUACUAGGUGUUGGAGGAUUGACCCCUUCAGUGCCGCAGUUAACACAAUAAGUAAUCCACCUGGGGAGUACGACCGCAAGGUUGAAACUCAAAGGAAUUGACGGGGGCCCGCACAAGCAGUGGAGUAUGUGGUUUAAUUCGAAGCAACGCGAAGAACCUUACCAGGUCUUGACAUCCGAUGCAUAGUGCAGAGAUGCAUGAAGUCCUUCGGGACAUCGAGACAGGUGGUGCAUGGUUGUCGUCAGCUCGUGUCGUGAGAUGUUGGGUUAAGUCCCGCAACGAGCGCAACCCUUAUUGCCAGUUACUACGCAAGAGGACUCUGGCGAGACUGCCGUUGACAAAACGGAGGAAGGUGGGGAUGACGUCAAAUCAUCAUGCCCUUUAUGACCUGGGCUACACACGUACUACAAUGGCGUUUAACAAAGAGAAGCAAGACCGCGAGGUGGAGCAAAAUUCAAAAACAACGUCUCAGUUCAGAUUGCAGGCUGCAACUCGCCUGCAUGAAGUCGGAAUUGCUAGUAAUCGCGGAUCAGCAUGCCGCGGUGAAUACGUUCCCGGGCCUUGCACUCACCGCCCGUCA
RNAcentral lists this ribosomal RNA (918 nucleotides) under uncultured bacterium. Its description in RNAcentral is "bacterial SSU rRNA". It matches the Rfam family "Bacterial small subunit ribosomal RNA", at positions 475 to 1399 of the family's 1533-position model. The record is from RNAcentral.